Molecule: ribosomal RNA, 575 nt
Filed under: uncultured rumen bacterium
Lineage: Bacteria
Description: bacterial SSU rRNA
Rfam family: Bacterial small subunit ribosomal RNA
Source: RNAcentral
GGCAGCAGCUAAGAAUAUUCCGCAAUGGACGAAAGUCUGACGGAGCGACGCCGCGUGGAUGAUGAAGGCCGGAAGGUUGUAAAAUCCUUUUAUGACUGAGGAAUAAGAUGGAUGAGAGAAACGUCCAUUGGUGACUGUAGGUCAUGAAUAAGCAACGGCUAAUUACGUGCCAGCAGCCGCGGUAACACGUAAGUUGCGAGCGUUGUUCGGAAUUAUUGGGCGUAAAGGGUAUGUAGGCGGUUCUGCAAGUCUAGUGUGAAAUGCCGGGGCUCAACCCCGGAACUGCGUUGGAAACUGCAGGACUUGAAUCGCUGAGGGGCAGCCAGAAUUCCAGGUGUAGGGGUGAAAUCUGUAGAUAUCUGGAAGAAUACCAAUGGCGAAGGCAGGCUGCCAGCAGAUGGUUGACGCUGAGGUACGAAGGUGCGGGGAGCAAACAGGAUUAGAUACCCUGGUAGUCCGCACAGUCAACUAUGUACACUGGGUGUCCGUUCAUGAGAAUGGGUGCCGAAGCAAACGCGAUAAGUGUACCGCCUGGGGAGUAUGCCCGCAAGGGUGAAACUCAAAGGAAUUGACGG